This 972-nucleotide long non-coding RNA is filed under the name Musa acuminata (dwarf banana). RNAcentral describes it as "long non-coding RNA (MACU_LNC010235)". Lineage: Eukaryota; Viridiplantae; Streptophyta; Magnoliopsida; Zingiberales; Musaceae. The record is from RNAcentral.
AAUCCAUGAGAUAUAUUUCUAAUAAAUAGAAUAGAUCCCAGAGUAUGGGCUUCGAAAGCAUGCCCCUCUCCUGAUCUAAAUAGCCGAAUCCAAAGAGGCAACUCUACUCUUUUCACUAUACACCAUAAUGACUCGGGUAAACCAUCAAGUGAACGAGAGCCUGAGAGCAGGUAAUCAAAACCCAGUUAGGUUAGACAAAAACUAAGCAUACAGGUAGAUAAAGUGCUAAAUCGGAGACAAAGUAUAGAAUUCUCCGAGUAUACCGGCUAUAGUGGAGUGAAUAAGGAAAGAGCUUAUUGACCGCGCAUCCAUCCCUUUACUAGCCUGAGCCUACUUUAGCUGAGUUCUCCUAGAGUGCUGUCUCCCCCAAUCCAAGCAAUAGAAUCAAGAUGAUGGAAAAGGUACUUCAAUAGCAUCGGUAAGCCUAUAAAUGAUAAGUCAAGCCGGGCCGAGGUAAUACUUUUUCAGUCAAAUAGAGGAGGCCGAGGUAUCAUCUAACUUUAGAGCAAUUAUGCUUUCAAUCCGGAGGAAAUCCAAAAGUAAUGGAUUGGGCUUAGGGACCAGAAGAAGGAAAUGUUUACUGCCAGUGGUAAAAGAAUGUUUAUGGUUACGGCUCGAUUCGAGUCCAGAUGUUUAGGGAGGAUACAUUUCGUCCGAUGCUUCCUAUCCUACAAUACCUUAGAGUUUAGGCUUCUUCGCUACCGGUUGGCUCAUAAAGAGAGUCGGCCCUCUCAUUGCUUUACGUGCUUGCUCCCAUUACCUCCCCUACCGUUUGCUAUCCUUUGGCUUACCUUUGCUUUUAGGUUCGGAUCUUAUUGUUUAGGUGUAGCCCAUGACCAUUAGAGAAGAACAAGAUUUCGCUGAUUAGCCAAGAUCGUAUGAAUCUGAUUGAUUGUACACUGAGGGAGAAGUCAAGUAACCCAUGAAUUUUCUUUUAGCGUGUGCAUUGUAUAGAGAAAAGUCAACAAAUGC